RNAcentral lists this ribosomal RNA (1213 nucleotides) under metagenome. RNAcentral's name for it is "bacterial LSU rRNA". It matches the Rfam family "Bacterial large subunit ribosomal RNA", at positions 1581 to 2805 of the family's 2925-position model. The record is from RNAcentral.
GGCAUCGAAGCAGUCUAUGUCAUACUUCCAAGAAAAGCUUGCACUGUCAUAAACAAAGAAUGCCUGUACCAUAACCGACACAGGUGGGUAGGUAGAGUAUACUAAGGGGCGCGAGAUAACUCUCUCUAAGGAACUCGGCAAAAUGACUCCGUAACUUCGGGAGAAGGAGUGCCUUAUUUAUAAGGUUGCAAUAACAAGAUCCAAGCAACUGUUUAUCAAAAACACAGGUCUCCGCUAAGUCGUAAGACGAUGUAUGGGGGCUGACGCCUGCCCAGUGCCAGAAGGUUAAAGAAGUUGGUUAGUGUAUGCGAAGCUGAUGACUGAAGCCCUGGUGAACGGCGGCCGUAACAAUAACGGUCCUAAGGUAGCGAAAUUCCUUGUCGGGUAAGUUCCGACCCGCACGAAAGGCGUAAUGAUUUGGAUACUGUCUCGGAGAGAGGCUCGGUGAAAUAGACUUGUCUGUGAAGAUGCGGACUACCUGCACCAGGACAGAAAGACCCUAUGAAGCUUUACUGUAACUUGAAAUUGGAAUUGGACUUUGCUUGCGCAGUAUAGGUGGGAAGCGUUGAAAAUAUUCUUGCGGGAGUAUUGGAGCUAUCAGUGAGAUACCACUCUUGUAAUGUUAGAUUUCUAACUUUGAACCAUAAUCUGGUCAAAGAACAGUUUCAGGUGGGCAGUUUGACUGGGGCGGUCGCCUCCCAAAUGGUACGGAGGCGUACAAAGGUUUCCUCUGAACGGAUAGAAAUCGUAUCUAGAGUGUAAAGGCAUAAGGAAGCUUGACUGUGAGACCUACAAGUCGAGCAGGGACGAAAGUCGGUCUUAGUGAUCUGACGGUACUGAGUGGAAAGGCCGUCACUCAACGGAUAAAAGUUACUCUAGGAUAACAGGCUGAUCUCCCCCAAGAGUUCACAUCGACGGGGAGGUUUGGCACCUCGAUGUCGGCUCAUCGCAUCCUGGGGCGGUAGUACGUCCCAAGGGUUGGGCUGUUCGCCCAUGAAAGCGGUACGCGAGCUGGGUUCAGAACGUCGUGAGACAGUUCGGUCCAUAUCCGGUGUAGGCGCUAGAAUAUUGAGAGGAGCCUUCUUUAGUACGAGAGGACCGAGAAGGACACACCGCUGGUGUACCAGUUAUCGUGCCAACGGUAAACGCUGGGUAGCUAUGUGUGGAGUGGAUAACCGCUGAAAGCAUCUAAGUGGGAAGCCCACCUCGAGAU